Molecule: ribosomal RNA, 790 nt
Filed under: uncultured bacterium
Lineage: Bacteria
Description: bacterial SSU rRNA
Rfam family: Bacterial small subunit ribosomal RNA
Source: RNAcentral
AGAGUUUGAUCAUGGCUCAGGAUGAACGCUGGCGGCGUGCUUAACACAUGCAAGUCGAACGAAGCACCUUAUCACGAUUCUUUCGGGAUGACGAUCUGGUGACUGAGUGGCGGACGGGUGAGUAACGCGUGGGUAACCUACCUCACACAGGGGGAUAACAGUUAGAAAUGACUGCUAAUACCGCAUAAGCGCACAGUACCGCAUGGUACGGUGUGAAAAACUCCGGUGGUGUGAGAUGGACCCGCGUCUGAUUAGCUGGUUGGUGAGGUAACGGCUCACCAAGGCGACGAUCAGUAGCCGGCCUGAGAGGGUGAACGGCCACAUUGGAACUGAGACACGGUCCAAACUCCUACGGGAGGCAGCAGUGGGGAAUAUUGCACAAUGGGGGAAACCCUGAUGCAGCGACGCCGCGUGAGUGAAGAAGUAUUUCGGUAUGUAAAGCUCUAUCAGCAGGGAAGAUAAUGACCGUACCUGACUAAGAAGCCCCGGCUAACUACGUGCCAGCAGCCGCGGUAAUACGUAGGGGGCAAGCGUUAUCCGGAUUUACUGGGUGUAAAGGGUGCGUAGGUGGUAUGGCAAGUCAGAAGUGAAAACCCGGGGCUCAACCCCGAGGAUUGCUUUUGAAACUGUCAAACUAGAGUACAGGAGAGGUAAGCGGAAUUCCUAGUGUAGCGGUGAAAUGCGUAGAUAUUAGGAGGAACACCAGUGGCGAAGGCGGCUUACUGGCCUGUAACUGACACUGAGGCACGAAAGCGUGGGGAGCAAACAGGAUUAGAUACCCUGGUAGUCC